GGACAGGUGUGGGGCCGGGCAGGUUCCUGUACCUGAGCGCCAUGGAGCGCGGGGAGCUGGCCAAGAAGAUCGGCACCACACCUGACAUCAUCCUGGACGACCUCCUGGAGAUCGACCGAGUCACCGCCCACUUCUGAGGGACCCAAAACCCCCAAAAAAAACCCAAAAAUCCCCCCAAAAAGUCCCGAAAAUUCCCUAAAAAUUUAAAAUUAAAAAAAAAAAUCCCCCAAAACCUCCCAAAAAUCCCCAAAAUUUCCCCAAAACUCCCUGUUUGUAAUAAAACGCAACUUUCGGCUCCGG
Molecule: long non-coding RNA, 300 nt
Organism: Vidua chalybeata
Lineage: Eukaryota; Metazoa; Chordata; Aves; Passeriformes; Viduidae
Exons: 2
Source: RefSeq, a predicted model, not a curated record